CGGCUCAGUAACACGUGGAUAACCUACCCUUGAGACGGGGAUAAACCCGGGAAACUGGGUAUAAUACCCGAUAGAUCUCGACUGCUGGAAUGCAUCGAGCUUGAAAGCUCCGGCGCUCAAGGAUGGGUCUGCGGCCUAUCAGGUAGUAGUGGGUGUAGCGUACCUACUAGCCUACGACGGGUACGGGUUGUGAGAGCAAGAGCCCGGAGAUGGAUUCUGAGACACGAAUCCAGGCCCUACGGGGUGCAGCAGGCGCGAAAACUUUACAAUGCUGGAAACAGCGAUAAGGGGACCUCGAGUGCCAGGUUACAAAUCUGGCUGUCGUGAUGCCUAAAAAGCAUUGCAUAGCAAGGGCCGGGCAAGACCGGUGCCAGCCGCCGCGGUAACACCGGCGGCUCGAGUGGUAACCGUUAUUAUUGGGUCUAAAGGGUCUGUAGCCGGCCGGAUAAGUCUCUUGGGAAAUCUGGCAGCUUAACUGUCAGGCUUUCAGGAGAUACUGUCUGGCUCGAGGCCGGGAGAGGUGAGAGGUACUUCAGGGGUAGGGGUGAAAUCUUGUAAUCCUUGAAGGACCACCAGUGGCGAAGGCGUCUCACCAGAACGGACCUGACGGCAAGGGACGAAAGCUAGGGGCACGAACCGGAUUAGAUACCCGGGUAGUCCUAGCCGUAAACGAUACUCGCUAGGUGUCG
This 689-nucleotide ribosomal RNA is filed under the name uncultured Methanosaeta sp. RNAcentral describes it as "bacterial SSU rRNA". It matches the Rfam family "Archaeal small subunit ribosomal RNA", at positions 83 to 776 of the family's 1478-position model. Lineage: Archaea; Methanobacteriati; Methanobacteriota; Methanomicrobia; Methanotrichales; Methanotrichaceae. The record is from RNAcentral.